GGCUCACAACGAACGCUGGCGGCGUGCCUAACAAUGAGAGUCGAACGGAGCGAGAGGAGCUUGCUCUUCUCGCUUAGUGGCGGACGGGUGAGUAACGCGUGAGCAAAGGGGCUUUCAGAGGGGAAUAACACAGUGAAAACUGUACUAAUACCGCAUAACGUCUCUUGGGCGCAUGCCCGAGGGACCAAAGGAGUAAUCCGCUGAAAGAUGGGCUCGCGUCCGAUUAGACAGUUGGCGGGGUAACGGCCCACCAAAUCAACGAUCGGUAGCCGGACUGAGAGGUUGAACGGCCACAUUGGGACUGAGAUACGGCCCAGACUCCCACGGGAGGCAGCAGUGAGGGAUAUUAGGCAAUGGGGGAAACCCUGACCUAGCAACGCCGCGGGAAGGAUGAAGGCUCUCGGAUUGUAAACUUCUUUGAGGAGGGGCGAUGAUGACGGUACCUCGAAAACAAGCCACGGCUAACUACGUGCCAGCAGCCGCGGUAAUACGUAGGUGGCAAGCGUUGUCCGGAUUUAUUGGGUGUAAAGGGCGUGUAGGCGKAAUCGCAAGUCAGAUGUGAAAUACGGAGGCUUAACCUCCGGGCUGCAUUUAAAACUGCGGAUCUUGAGUGAUGGAGAGGUAAGCGGAAUUCCCGGUGUAGCGGUAAAAUGCGUAGAUAUCGGGAGGAACACCCAGUGGCGAAGGCGGCUUACUGGACAUUAACUGACGCUGAGGCGCGAAAGUGUGGGGAGCACACAGGAUUAGAUACCCUGGUAGUCCACACUGUAAACGAUGGAUACUAGGUGUGGGGGGACUGACCCCUUCCGUGCCGGAGUAAACACAAUAAGKAUCCCACCUGGGGAGUACGGUCGCAAGAUUAAAACUCAAAGGAAUUGACGGGGACCCGCACAAGCAGUGGAGUAUGUGGAUUAAUUCGAUGCAACGCGAAGAACCUUACCAAGGCUUGACAUCCUACUGACGAAGUAGAGAUACAUUAGGUGCCCCUCGGGGAAAGUAGAGACAGGUGGUGCAUGGUUGUCGUCAGCUCGUGUCGUGAGAUGUUGGGUUAAGUCCCGCAACGAGCGCAACCCUUGUGGUUAGUUGCUACGGAAGAGCACUCUGGCCGGACUGCCGUUGACAAAACGGAGGAAGGUGGGGAUGACGUCAAAUCAUCAUGCCCUUUAUGUCUUGGGCUUCACACGUACUACAAUGGCGCGGAACAAAGAGCAGCGAACGCGCGAGCGCGAGCGAAUCUCGAAAAGGCGCCCCAGUUCAGAUUGCAGGCUGCAACCCGCCUGCAUGAAGCCGGAAUUGCUAGUAAUCGCGGAUCAGCAUGCCGCGGUGAAUACGUUCCCGGGUCUUGUACACACCGCCCGUCAAACCAUGAAAGUCGGAAACACCCGAAGUCUGUAGCCUACCCAAGGGGGGCGCAGCCGAAGGUGGGUUCGGGGACUCCAUAAGUCGUAACAAGGUAACC
Molecule: ribosomal RNA, 1459 nt
Filed under: uncultured rumen bacterium
Lineage: Bacteria
Description: 16S ribosomal RNA
Rfam family: Bacterial small subunit ribosomal RNA
Source: RNAcentral